UCUAGCCUCUAACAUGUCCACCUACUAUUGCCUGAUAUGGGCUGGACAUUCUCAAUCUUGAUAUGAUCAAGACUCAGUUUCUUAUUAUGCCAUAUCUCAUAUGGUGUGAUAGAAACAGACUUAGAGAGAACCCUAUUCAAUAGGUAAAUUUUAAAAGUAAAUCAUGUCCUCAAAAAAAUAGAGAUAAAUUAGUGAAGUUCAUCAU
Molecule: long non-coding RNA, 205 nt
Filed under: Elaeis guineensis (African oil palm)
Lineage: Eukaryota; Viridiplantae; Streptophyta; Magnoliopsida; Arecales; Arecaceae
Description: long non-coding RNA (EGUI_LNC054033)
Source: RNAcentral